RNAcentral lists this ribosomal RNA (515 nucleotides) under uncultured archaeon. Its description in RNAcentral is "bacterial SSU rRNA". It matches the Rfam family "Archaeal small subunit ribosomal RNA", at positions 90 to 613 of the family's 1478-position model. The record is from RNAcentral.
GCGGGAAUUCGAUUACCUGCCCUAAGGUGGAGGAUAACCCCGGGAAACUGGGGAUAAUACUCCAUAGACCAGAGUGACUGGAAUGUUUUCUGGUCGAAAGUUCCGGCGCCUUAGGAUGGAUCUGCGGCCGAUUAGGUAGUUGUUGGGGUAACGGCCCAACAAGCCAGUCAUCGGUACGGGUUGUGGGAGCAAGAGCCCGGAGAUGGAAUCUGAGACACGAUUCCAGGCCCUACGGGGCGCAGCAGGCGCGAAAACUUUACAAUGCAGGAAACUGUGAUAAGGGAACCCCGAGUGCUCGUACACGCGAGCUGUCCAGGUGUGUAAAAAGCAUCUGAAGAAAGGGCCGGGCAAGACCGGUGCCAGCCGCCGCGGUAAUACCGGCGGCUCGAGUGGUGGCCACUAUUAUUGGGCUUAAAGCGUUCGUAGCUGGACUCUUAAGUCUCCUGGGAAAUCCGCCGGCUCAACCGGCGGGCGUCCAGGAGAUACUGGGAGUCUUGGAACCGGAAGAGGUAAGA